GGGUCGGUGCCCGAGUGGCCAAAGGGAGCGGACUGUAAAUCCGUCGGUUACGCCUACGUAGGUUCAAAUCCUACCCGGCCCA
Molecule: transfer RNA, 82 nt
Filed under: Acidimicrobiia bacterium
Lineage: Bacteria; Bacillati; Actinomycetota; Acidimicrobiia
Also listed under: 1 other name
Description: tRNA-Tyr
Rfam family: tRNA
About the family: Transfer RNA (tRNA) molecules are approximately 80 nucleotides in length. Their secondary structure includes four short double-helical elements and three loops (D, anti-codon, and T loops).
Source: RNAcentral